UAUAACAGAAAUGUUAUAUAAAUGUUAUAUAAACAUUUCUGUUAUAUAAAUGUAUAUAACAGAUGAGGAGUUCAGAGAAAAUAGAAGAAAUAAUGCAAGAAAACUUUUCUAAACUGAAAGAUAUGAAUAUAAACACUGAACAAAAUUUCCAAAUACUCACGAAAGCAAUACUACUACUAAUAAAAGCCAUACCAAGGCACAUUUGCAUAAAAUAUCAAUACAAUUAGGAAAAAGAGAAGAUUCUGAAAGCUUCCAGAGAUGAUGAUGAUGAUAACAGUAAUAAUAGUAUUCACAUACAAAGGAUCAGGAAUCAAAGGGACAUUUUUCAAUAGUGACACUUGGGACUAGACAACGAUGAAGCAAUGCCUUCUAAAUUGUGAAAGAAAACGAUCAUGAACCUGGAUUUUUAUACCCAGGCAAACUAUCAAUCAAGUAUGAGAGCAAAAUACAGAGCUUACCAGAUGGUCUAAAAAAAUGUCUUCUACAUGUCUUUUCUCAGGGACAUUCUGUAGGAUAUGCUCCUUGAAAAUCAGUGAGUCACAGAAGAAAAAGUAAAAUGAGAUCCCAAUUUAAAAAAGAGGAAAUUCCUAUAAUUACCACUUUGUAGCAGACAAAAAGGGCAACCAGUAUAAACUGGAACUGGAGGAUGAAGAACCUUAGGGGAGAAGUUUCCCAGAAAAUAAUAAAAGGGAAACUGUACAGAAAAGCCUUUUACAGAGUUGGACAAUGUGGUCAGAUCAAGCCAGAGAUUUAAAGAAAGCCAAGUAAGAGAAAUAAAUAAAAAUUAACUCAAUGGAAAACAAAAGUUUAUAUUUAGGAAAGGAUAUAUAAGUAUAGGAUACUUUCUGACUCACACAUGAGCAGUGCUGUUGUUCUCUAUCAUGAUACUCUUAUUUGGUUUGAAAUGGUCUUUCUGUAUUCAGUGUGAAAGAUAAAAUGCACAUGACAAUUAGGUGAUUAUUUUAUUCAGGCUGUUGCAACAGGGAGAACAUUCCUCAAUGAGGAACUUGUCAAAGAAAAGGAAGGGGAGCCUUGAGCUUUACAGAGGCAGAAAAGAGUCAUCAGCAAGUCUUAUCAGAAUCAUGAAGAAUGGAGAUGAGUCUUGGCUAACUCACCGAGGAAAGGUGGAGGCAGAACUUAUCUCCAAACGCAGGACGGCAAAAAGAUCCUUUGCAGGACAUGCAUGACUCAAGUCCGUCAAAGGAAUUCCCUAGUGGCCCAGACAGAGACUUAUCCAAAGAGAAAUCUGGCCCCUGCAUGAUCUGCUGUGAUGGUGAGUCAAUCAAGGUUAAUAGCAAGCCAUUUUCUUUAGACAGGGGAUGGAGAGUGGGAAGUGGGGGCAGGGUGUGGAGAAUGGAGGAAUGGCCAAUUGCAAGGCAAACCAGAGUCCUCAUAAUCAUCUGGGCAGUUGAGUUUUAGUUCUUAGUGGUGCUGAGUCAGGCAGGAGAGAAAAAAAUUGGAAAAGUUAGUGGAAAGGGUUAUAGCCAGAUAGUGAAGGAAACUAAAAGAAUUAAAAAGUUGGUGUGGAUUGACAUUUUGAGCAAGUAACAGGCUCCAGUAUAAUUUGCAGAUAACAAAACUGAUUUUUCCAGAGUGGGAGGAAGUCAAUUAAGUAGCCAUUAGACAAGCCAGUAUGCAUGUCCAUCAGUUACCUACAAUAUACAAUUGUGCAAAUAUGUGCAACAUGCUUCAAAGACCGUGAACAAGUCUAGAAUUUGAUAACAUGGAAUGGUAUGCUAUAGACAAUGCGUAGUUUUCCAAAACACAAAAUUUCUCUCAUCUCUCUAAAGUCAUACCCUCAAAGAUGUUAAUGGAAAAAACAAGCAGUUUAAAGAAAUUUAUCCUGGACCAAUAUGAACAACCACAGUCCAAGGAAAUACAGUCUCAAGAUUCCUGAGACUGGGUACCUGAGGUGGUCAGAUUACAAUUUGGUUUUAUACAUUUCAGGAAGGCAAGAAUUGCAGACAAAGCCAUAAAACACAUGGAGGGCAUACAUUGGUUUGGCCUGAAAAAGUAUAUCUUGAAGUGGGGACAUACGAGUCAUAGAUGGAUUCAGAGAUUCUUUAAUCUGCAGUUGGUUAAAGAAAUGAAAUGUCUAAAAACUUGAAGUUAGCAGAAAGACCUGUUUAAGUUAAAUUAAGGAUGUAUGUCAGAAUCAGUCACAAUAUGACCUAUUUAGCAAGACUGACGGCUACAGAUGUGCAUUAACUCCUGCCUGGCAUGGCCUUAGGACUUGUUUAUAAUUUGGUACUUUAUUGCAACUAAGAGUCUGUUUUGUCUUGGACAAUGUGGUCAGAUCAAGCCAGAGAUUUAAAGAAAGCCAAGUAAGAGAAAUAAAUAAAAAUUAACUCAAAGGAAAAAAAAAGUUUAUAUUUAGGAAAGGAUAUACAAGCAUAGGAUACUUUCUGACUCACACAUGAGCAGUGCUGUUGUUCUUUAUCAUGAUACUCUUAGUUGGUUUGAAACGGUCUUUCUGGCAUAAAAUUAAGGCAUAAAAUUCUUAAUUGAUUUGGACUCAGACAGAUAAACAAACAAAUGCCUUGAAUUCGUCUCUCCCUGUAACAUGAGUUGUUUAAAAACAAAAAACACAACUAUGUGACAAAGGCUGUGUAUGGCCUACGAAUUCCAACACAUUACUACCUGGCCCUUUAUUUAAACAUUAGUACUGGUCAGUCGUUGAGCCUACAUGCCAAAAGGUGGGGGUAUAUUGAGGUGUGUUCAACCUCCCUUCCCAUCAUGGCAGGAACUCAGUUUUUCAGAUUUCUUUCCAGUCUUCUUGGUCAAGAGAGUCUGUUUGGUAGGUGGGCAGCUUAAAAUUUUAUUUUUAGUUGAUAAUAAUCUCAAAGAAACAUUAUUUUUGAUAAUAAACUAAGGCUAGUCUCCUUAGAUUUGACCUGAUUACUUACAUUGGUGUAGCAAGAAUAAUAAUUUACCGUGUAGGCCUUCUUAAGUUUAUUUGAUGAAUGUUUUCAGAAGGAAUUUCAGAUUAGUCUUUUAAAAGCCUCCUGAGGAUAGGAAGCCAAGCCAAGAAUUUGCUAUUAUAUUUUACCUGUAGUUCUUGUAAAUCCUCCAUUCUGGAGGUCCACAAAAUAAACUACAGUUCCUGGAUCUGCCAAGAAGUGACCUUCAUUAUUACCUGUAAGACUGAGAACUUAUAAACCAGAUACCAAGCCAGUCCCGAAAGGGCUUUGCAAAGCAUUGCCUCCAUAAAAUCAACCUUUGUUUCUUAAAAGUGUUUGUUCAUAUUUGAUUAAAAGAAUAUCAUUUUCCAACAUGACAUUCCAGACAAAGCCUUGGUUGCACAAUGUUUCUCAUUUUGUACUGAUAACAAGUAGGACAGAUUCUUAAUUAAUCUAUGGAAAUAACUACAUUGAGAUGAAAAUAAGAGUAUUAAAUAAGAGGUUCCAAAUUCUGGAGGGGUUAGUCAGGUGGAAUAAGAUAUAUUAUCAUCUACAAAUGUUUCAUUUCAGUUUACAAAAGCUGAGUCUACUCGAUUGUUGAGUUCGAGGUAGCUUAUAAGGAAAGCAAAGGAGCUUCUUUGUAUAUCCAGAAAAUAGAACAUUAAAAUAGCAACAAUAUUCCAGGAAAAACCCCACAGCUAUCUCUGAUCAGGUCAUUCAGUCCUAUGUAACUAACUCUUGUUUCACUUGAUCUUGGGUUAGCGGUCUCAUGAGCCCAUCUGUUUCUGAACUAUGUUCUGGAAAUCCUGAUUCAUUCCAUGGAUAUGGUCUCAAAGUUGCGUAAGUGAUGCCAGAAGUCUGUGCUUUGGAGUACAUGGUAUAGUCCUUUUCACAGGCUCUGAGAUGAUUCUUCUUUGUUGAAGAUGAAGCAACAUUAUCAAACCACAGCUGACUUGGACCAGGACACAUAAAAGUCUCUUUCUGGCCUCUAGCUGGUUGCACUUUCAAGGAAGCAUCAGAGUGAAACAGAAAACCACCUGUAGAUGACAAGGGACUUAAAACUGCUGUGGUUAGCUUCACACUUGUAAGUUCCAAAAGUGAAAGAUCUGAUGAGAGUUCAUUACAAGAAUAAUGCAAGUGCAAAAAAUAUUUUUGAUUGUUUCUGUGGCAUGCAAAAUAAGAGAAUAAUUACAAUUUAAAAUAAGAUAGAUAAAAUAUUCAUAAACAUAAUAGACCUAUUUUAAAGAAUAGUAUACCUCAUUAAUAAAAACAGAUGAUCAUAAUCAUUUUAGAGAAAAAAAUAUUGAGAUAUAUAAUAAUCCUGACAUAAUAGGCCAUGAAUAUGCAAAGACUAUAGUAAGAAUACAUCAAGAAUAUAUAUCAAGUAAAGAGAUUCACUAAAUCUGAGUAGGUCUUAAAUAUCUUUAUAUGUUAGUAAAAUACUACAGGUAAGUAAUAUAAAAAUCUCUAAUUGAAAACCAUGGGCUUUGAAGAUGCUAGAUUCAAAUUAAAGAAGUAAAGUUGUGACAAGUCACAUGUUAAAAAAUAACUGAAAUUAUGAUUGAUAACACUAGACUGUUGUUGUCUAAUAAUAGGCAAAGCAGUGCCAAGAUUUGAAUAAACAGAAACGUAUCAUCAAUGGUGAGGGCACUGGCAAUUCUUUAAGAACUUCCCAAACAGCAUAUAAUUACUGAAAUCCUUAUAUUAAUAAACAUUUACUCAUACAAAUUUAACCUAGGGAAGGCUGAGCAUCUCUUCACAUUUAACAUCUCUUCCCAUGCAACUCAUUAAUAGUAAUAUUCAAAUAAAUCUAAUUAUUUCUAGUACCUCUCUUUUCACAUGACGAGCAAACAAAUCCUUUGUGAUUUAUCUGGGGAAUCUCAAAGAUAGUUUUAAGAUGCAAGAGAUAUGAUUUAGGUUGUGAUUUUGGAAAGGAAACAUAUAAAAAAUUUUCAGAAGAUUUGAAUGCUUCAUUAAGAUGAGAUCAUGGGAUCGUUAGCUAUGUAUGAUCAUGGGAUACCUGCCUAUUAAACCUUAACUACCUAUUAAACCAAAGUGACAAUAAAAAUUAUAAAAGUAAACAUAAGAACUCUAAUGGUUAAUUGUAUGUGUCAGCUGGACUAGCUAAGAGAUUCAUAGAUAGCUGGGAAAACAUUAUGUCUAGGUGUGUUUUUAAGGGUAUUUCUGGGAGAGAUCAGUAUUUGAAUUGGUAGAUGAAGCAAAGAUCGCCCUCACCGAUGUAGAUGGGCACCACACAAUUUGUUGAGGGUUUGAACAGAAUGAAAAGGUAGACGAAGGAUAAAUCUGCUGUCUGCUUGAGCUGGAACAUUCAUCUUCUCCUGCCCUAGGAUACUGGAGCUUCUGGUUCUCUGGCCUUUGGACUUAAACUGGGACUGGGACUUACACCAUUGGCUUCCCUGGUUCUUGAGUCUUGGAGCUAAGGCUGGAAUUGUUAAGUGGUAACUGGGCUUUCCUGGGCCUCCAGCUUGCAGACAGCAUAUUGUGGAGUUCUCAACCUCUAUAAUUAUGUGAGUCAGUCCCUAUAAUAAACCUCUUUCUAGAUAUCUCUAUAUAUCCUUUUAAUUCUGUUUAUCUGAAGAUCUAUCACUGAUACAGGAGGUAUCAUUAUUGGAAAGAAUCUGAGCUUUUGUCUAUAUGAGAAAUCUUUGUUUUCAUAAAUAAUCAAGGAAAAACAGUAAACAUAAACCAUGGAAGUUAUUCUGUAAGACAUAAAAUCCUUGUCAUCCAGGCAGAUUGCACAGAAAGUAAAGAAUAAACUUUUAUAACUGCCUAUCAAGACCUAACCAAUAAUCCAAGAUAAUCUCAGUCUUUUAACAGGGAGAAAACUGAAUUCCAGUUUUGCAUCAGUAUAAUAUUGGAUACUAAAGCUUUUUUUAGAAAAUCCUAUAAAUAACUCAUCAAACCAUAGCUAGCAGUGAUCAGGAUAAAUAAAAUUCACUUUUCUUGAGCUUUCUAUAUCAUUCUAUAUCUAUACAUGUUUUUUAUAAUACAAGUUUUCAAAGUGGCAAAAAUGAACAUAUUCAUUAACAAACUCCAAAUACAGAGCUUCUCUAUAUGCUAUAAAAAUAAAUAACAAAAAGUGUAUAAACUUAAAAUUACACUUGAUAAUUAAUGUUUCAGUUUUUCAUCUUACUUAGAGAUCACCUAAGUAUCUAAUGAAUGUCCAUUAAUGUACUCAUUUUGUAUCAGUCCAAAAUUUUAAAUUACCAAAAGAUCUUGGAAACUAUCAUCAAGCCGACAUAUUACAAAAUAUAACUACUAUUGAAAUAAAGUUUGUUAGAAUAAAUAUUUAAUUUGGUUAAACACAGAUUGGCAUCUUUCAUAGCCUUAAACAUUUAGUAGAAGUAAUGUUAGUUUAUUUAAUCAUUACACCUGUAUAAGUUUAGGAAGAACAUAUCCAAGUAGAAUAAAUAUGUCAUUUAACUCAGAGAAGACAUAACUAUUUUUAUUAAACCAACAACAUUAAAUUAGUCUCAUUUGUAAAAUAUUUAUCCAAAUUAUGUGAACUUGAAUUCCUAAAACAUUUGGGUUAGUUUCAUUAAGAAUGUCCCCUUUUUGGCACACGGAAAUGAUUGGAACUUUAAUUUCCAACAUUUCUGGGAAUUUUAGGAAUAUUCAGUUAUAAAACACUUAUCUCUGUAAGUCAAUCAGAAUAGAGCUCUUUUAAUUUAAGAUAUUUUAUAAUCUAAUUUAACAUCACUUGGAGGUAGGAAAAUAUAUACUCACACAAUGAUAUUUAAAGGCUUUUUUGAAUUACAGGUCUAAACAUUCAUGUGGUUGAGAAAGAGCUUAUUAUAGCUUAAAUGUCAUGAUUUCAGCCAUGGAUCAAACAUAAAUUAAGAAAUAGAAAACUUACCAGUCCAGAUACCUACUUUUCAGUAGGCAUAAAAUUCUUAAUUGAUUUGGACUCAGACAGGUAAACAAACAAAUGCCUUGAACUCGUCUCUCCCUUUAACAUGAGUUGUUUAAAAACAAAAAACACAACUAUGUGACAAAGGCUGUGUAUGGCCUACGAAUUCCAACACAUUACUACCUGGCCCUUUAUAGAAAAUCAUUGCCACCCUGCAACUCAAAGACCUCUACAUGUUCUCACGAGAAUUUGAAUUCAUUUCUUACAAAUGUACAGACUAGAAAAGGUGUAUAGUUUUUGAAUCCUAAACAGGCCUUGCAGACCACUAGUUCCAGAAAUUAAGAUGUUUCAUUUACAAGAGCAUAGUCAAAACAAACAAACAAACAAAAAACAAAAUAAAACGAAA
Molecule: non-coding RNA, 7177 nt
Organism: Chlorocebus sabaeus (green monkey)
Lineage: Eukaryota; Metazoa; Chordata; Mammalia; Primates; Cercopithecidae
Source: RefSeq, a predicted model, not a curated record